RNAcentral lists this ribosomal RNA (500 nucleotides) under uncultured bacterium. RNAcentral describes it as "partial 16S ribosomal RNA". It matches the Rfam family "Bacterial small subunit ribosomal RNA", at positions 30 to 523 of the family's 1533-position model. The record is from RNAcentral.
AUUGAACGCUGGCGGCAUGCCUUACACAUGCAAGUCGAACGGUAACAGGGAGCUUGCUCCGCUGACGAGUGGCGAACGGGUGAGUAAUGUACCGGAACGUACCUUUUAGUGGGGGAUAACGUAGCGAAAGUUACGCUAAUACCGCAUAUUCUCUGAGGAGGAAAGCAGGGGACCUUCGGGCCUUGCGCUAAUAGAGCGGCUGAUAUCAGAUUAGCUAGUUGGUGAGGUAAAGGCUCACCAAGGCGACGAUCUGUAGCGGGUCUGAGAGGAUGAUCCGCCACACUGGAACUGAGACACGGUCCAGACUCCUACGGGAGGCAGCAGUGGGGAAUUUUGGACAAUGGGGGCAACCCUGAUCCAGCCAUGCCGCGUGAGUGAAGAAGGCCUUCGGGUUGUAAAGCUCUUUCGGCCGGGAAAAAAUCGCAUGGGUUAAUACCCUGUGUGGAUGAUGGUACCGGAAUAAGAAGCACCGGCUAACUACGUGCCAGCAGCAGCCGCAG